CAUUUUCGUUUUCUUUUUUUUUUUCUCGCCCGGUUCACUUGACUCGACGAUCCCCCUUGGCGUUUGAGGCGCGCCGGAAAUCGCCUCAAACGCCUUUGGCAUUUGGGCGCGGUGUCGGGCUCGGAACGAGCUUUCCGAAACGUACUCACGGGCCCCGUGAGUCCAUCGGGAUCGAAAGUUAGGCACGUGAACGCGGAGACGCGCGGAUUACGUUUACUGAGAAAUUGUCCAUUUCGUGUUUCGUCGCAUGUAAGUAGCGUUACGUUAACCGCGCGACGGGUCCUUGAGAGCGGGAAGUUGAACACUCCGGACGUUUCUCGAGAGGAGAAAGCGAUUCGCUUCAAGUAAAUAUG
RNAcentral lists this unclassified non-coding RNA (353 nucleotides) under Melaleuca dealbata. The record is from RNAcentral. Lineage: Eukaryota; Viridiplantae; Streptophyta; Magnoliopsida; Myrtales; Myrtaceae.